GUAGUCUGCCAUACGCAGGAAGACCCGCUGAACUGAAGCAUCUCAUUAAGCGGAGGAAAAGAAACUAACUAGGAUUCCCUUAGUAAAGGCGAUCGAAAAGGGAACAGCCCAACGUCUUAAUCCCGCAAGGGAAAUGUAGUCGGUUCACCUAUUGCACUGGUCUAAGUCAGAUGGAAUGCUGCGCGAUUCAGAGUAAAAGCCUCGUAUGACCAACCGCAAGCUUACGAUGGACCGGGGAGAGUCGGAUACUUUGAGAGUAGUGUCUUAAGGGGGUGGUAUGUCCCAUCCAAGGCUAAAUAACGUGAGGAGACCGAUAGAUUACAAGUAGUGUGAACGAAAGAUGAAAAGAACUCUAAAACAGAGGGUGAAAAGUUCCUGAACUUGCUUAGGGUUAAGGCUAUUUAUAGUACCCGUCUUGAAACACGGAUUAGGGAGUUUAUCUGUAGUGCGAGUCUUUGCACGUUAACUGUAAAGGCGUAGAGAAAGCAACUGGCGUUUGCAUGGCUACUGAGCAUUACUGAUAGGACCCCGAAAGGUGGUGAACUUUGCCUGCACAGGUUGAAGUCAGGGGAAACUCUGAUUGAGGACCGUACGGGUUUAUGAUG
Trichomonas vaginalis G3 is the source of this 605-nucleotide non-coding RNA. The record is from Rfam. NCBI's taxonomy places the organism in Eukaryota, Parabasalia, Trichomonadida, Trichomonadidae.